Molecule: ribosomal RNA, 1049 nt
Filed under: uncultured bacterium
Lineage: Bacteria
Description: bacterial SSU rRNA
Rfam family: Bacterial small subunit ribosomal RNA
Source: RNAcentral
AGAGUUUGAUCCUGGCUCAGAACGAACGCUGGCGGCAGGCCUAACACAUGCAAGUCGAGCGCGCCCUUCGGGGUGAGCGGCGGACGGGUUAGUAACGCGUGGGAAUAUACCCGACACUAAGGAAUAGCCUCUGGAAACGGAGAGUAAUACCUUAUACGCCCUUCGGGGGAAAGAUUUAUCGGUGACGGAUUAGCCCGCGUUAGAUUAGAUAGUUGGUGGGGUAAUGGCCUACCAAGUCUACGAUCUAUAGCUGGUUUUAGAGGAUGAUCAGCAACACUGGGACUGAGACACGGCCCAGACUCCUACGGGAGGCAGCAGUGGGGAAUCUUGGACAAUGGGGGCAACCCUGAUCCAGCCAUGCCGCGUGAGUGAUGAAGGCCUUAGGGUCGUAAAGCUCUUUCGCCUGUGAUGAUAAUGACAGUAGCAGGUAAAGAAACCCCGGCUAACUCCGUACCAGCAGCCGCGGUAAUACGGAGGGGGUUAGCGUUGUUCGGAAUUACUGGGCGUAAAGCGCACGUAGGCGGAUCAGAAAGUAUGGGGUGAAAUCCCAGGGCUCAACCCAGGAACUGCCUCAUAAACUCCUGGUCUUGAGUUCGAGAGAGGUGAGUGGAAUUCCGAGUGUAGAGGUGAAAUUCGUAGAUAUUCGGAGGAACACCAGUGGCGAAGGCGGCUCACUGGCUCGAUACUGACGCUGAGGUGCGAAAGUGUGGGGAGCAAACAGGAUUAGAUACCCUGGUAGUCCACACCGUAAACGAUGAAUGCCAGUCGUCGGGUAGCAUGCUAUUCGGUGACACACCUAACGGAUUAAGCAUUCCGCCUGGGGAGUACGGUCGCAAGAUUAAAACUCAAAGGAAUUGACGGGGGCCCGCACAAGCGGUGGAGCAUGUGGGUUUAAUUCUAAGCAACGCGCAGAACCUUACCAACCCUUGACAUCCUAGGACAACUCCCCAGAAGGGAGCCUUCCUUCCGGGACCUAAUUGACAAGGUGCUGCAUGGGUUGUCCUCCACCUCCUGUCCUGGGAGAGUUUCGGUUUAAUUCCCGCGAACGA